RNAcentral lists this transfer RNA (73 nucleotides) under hydrocarbon metagenome. Its description in RNAcentral is "tRNA-Trp". It matches the Rfam family "tRNA". Rfam says of the family: Transfer RNA (tRNA) molecules are approximately 80 nucleotides in length. Their secondary structure includes four short double-helical elements and three loops (D, anti-codon, and T loops). The record is from RNAcentral.
AGGGGAGUAGCUCAAUUGGCAGAGCACUGGUCUCCAAAACCAGGGGCUGCAGGUUCGAUUCCUGUCUCCCCUG